CUGAGACACGGUCCAGACUCCUACGGGAGGCAGCAGUGGGGAAUAUUGCACAAUGGGCGAAAGCCUGAUGCAGCAACGCCGCGUGAGCGAUGAAGGCCUUCGGGUCGUAAAGCUCUGUCCUCAAGGAAGAUAAUGACGGUACUUGAGGAGGAAGCCCCGGCUAACUACGUGCCAGCAGCCGCGGUAAUACGUAGGGGGCUAGCGUUAUCCGGAAUUACUGGGCGUAAAGGGUGCGUAGGCGGUCUUUCAAGCCAGAAGUGAAAGGCUACGGCUCAACCGUAGUAAGCUUUUGGAACUGUAAGACUUGAGUGCAGGAGAGGAGAGUGGAAUUCCUAGUGUAGCGGUGAAAU
This 350-nucleotide ribosomal RNA is filed under the name uncultured bacterium. RNAcentral's name for it is "bacterial SSU rRNA". It matches the Rfam family "Bacterial small subunit ribosomal RNA", at positions 319 to 687 of the family's 1533-position model. The record is from RNAcentral.